Pan troglodytes (chimpanzee) is the source of this 148-nucleotide non-coding RNA. It matches the Rfam family "Metazoan signal recognition particle RNA". Rfam says of the family: The signal recognition particle (SRP) is a universally conserved ribonucleoprotein. Lineage: Eukaryota; Metazoa; Chordata; Mammalia; Primates; Hominidae. The record is from Rfam.
GCCGGGCGUGGUGGCACACACCUGUAAUCCCAGCUACUCAGGAGGCUGAGGCAGGAGAAUUGCUUGAGCCCGGGAGGCAGAGACUGCAGUGAGCCGAGAUCGUGCUACUGCACUCCAGCCUGGGCGACAGAGCGAGACUCUGUCUCAA